This is a non-coding RNA of Caenorhabditis elegans, 134 nucleotides long. The record is from Ensembl. NCBI's taxonomy places the organism in Eukaryota, Metazoa, Nematoda, Chromadorea, Rhabditida, Rhabditidae.
GUUUCUCGAAUCAAUGUUGGUGAUUCAAAAAUAUAUUGAGCCUUCGGAUCGAAACAUGAUGCCCUAUUUCUACGAUAGCACAUCACAGAAGUCUGCGUAUUCUGAGGAAACGCAGACUGCCCGCGGGAAGCCCC